GUGGCCCCUGAGCUGCAGCCUGCAUCGCGGCGGGACCCGGAGCCCGGAGUUCGAGGGGGUAACCCGAGCCCUCCAAGCUCUUGAAGCCGCGAGGGUGGCUUAGCUUCGGUGUUUUGGCUGAGAACACCCUUAAAGCUUAAAAUAAAACCUGCCUGUGGGGUGCGGGGGAGUAGAGAGGAGGACGCGAAUCACACCCGUUGCUGCCCCCCAGCCCUCCCCGUCUGUACAAUGGGAUGCUCGGGACUCGGACGGGAGGAUCCAGUGACUGCGAGCCCUGGAUUCGCCUGAUCCCAGCCUCACACCCCCAGCCAGCCCCCAGAGACCCUCCCACACUUACGAAGGAAAUGCAUGCGGCCAGGAGGAGGAUCCGCACCAGGAGGGAGCUCUACCCAGGAAAAAGAAGAAAAGGACAGAUUCAUUUGGGGUUCAGCCUCAUGCCCCCUACACCCCAGACUUUGUGGCUAAGGUAAGAGAAUCAGGCCACCUUGAGGUUCAUCAAGGUCAUCCCAUUAAAACCUCCCAAAUCUCUG
Molecule: long non-coding RNA, 530 nt
Organism: Nomascus leucogenys (northern white-cheeked gibbon)
Lineage: Eukaryota; Metazoa; Chordata; Mammalia; Primates; Hylobatidae
Exons: 2
Source: RefSeq, a predicted model, not a curated record